AGAGGAAAGAACAUAUUUUAUGUAAUGUUUUAAUGACUCUAUAUGUUUUAAGUGUCGAGACACAUGGAUUUCCAAAAUACUUUUACUAACUUCAUUUCAAGCAGUCUGAAAACACAAAAUUUGCCUUCAGUGAAUAUGCUCAGAAGUCACUAGAAAAUUCAGAUUUUCAUGAAAAGAGAAAGAGAAGAGAAAAGAGAAGAAAAAACAUGCUCAUCAUUAGGAUCCAGGAAAGAAAAUUAAACCAUUCUGCAGUUGAGGAUUUGUGCUUCUGGC
Mustela erminea (ermine) is the source of this 273-nucleotide long non-coding RNA. RefSeq lists it as uncharacterized. The record is from RefSeq and is a predicted model, not a curated record. The transcript is spliced from 3 exons. NCBI's taxonomy places the organism in Eukaryota, Metazoa, Chordata, Mammalia, Carnivora, Mustelidae.